UACGUAGGGGGCUAGCGUUGUCCGGAAUCAUUGGGCGUAAAGAGCUCGUAGGCGGUCUGUCGCGUCGAUCGUGAAAACUUGGGGCUUAACCCUGAGCUUGCGGUCGAUACGGGCAUGACUGGAGUUCGGCAGGGGAGACUGGAAUUCCUGGUGUAGCGGUGAAAUGCGCAGAUAUCAGGAGGAACACCGGUGGCGAAGGCGGGUCUCUGGGCCGAUACUGACGCUGAGGAGCGAAAGCGUGGGGAGCGAACAGG
Molecule: ribosomal RNA, 254 nt
Filed under: uncultured bacterium
Lineage: Bacteria
Description: partial 16S ribosomal RNA
Rfam family: Bacterial small subunit ribosomal RNA
Source: RNAcentral